CGGUCCAGACUCCUACGGGAGGCAGCAGUAGGGAAUCUUCCGCAAUGGGCGAAAGCCUGACGGAGCAACGCCGCGUGAGUGAUGAAGGUCUUCGGAUCGUAAAACUCUGUUAUUAGGGAAGAACAUAUGUGUAAGUAACUGUGCACAUCUUGACGGUACCUAAUCAGAAAGCCACGGCUAACUACGUGCCAGCAGCCGCGGUAA
RNAcentral lists this ribosomal RNA (204 nucleotides) under Staphylococcus aureus. RNAcentral's name for it is "partial 16S ribosomal RNA". It matches the Rfam family "Bacterial small subunit ribosomal RNA", at positions 327 to 523 of the family's 1533-position model. The record is from RNAcentral. Lineage: Bacteria; Bacillati; Bacillota; Bacilli; Caryophanales; Staphylococcaceae.